AGCAGUAGCCGCGGUAAUACGGAGGAUCCAAGCGUUAUCCGGAUUUAUUGGGUUUAAAGGGUGCGUAGGUGGCCUGUUAAGUCAGGGGUGAAAGACGGUAGCUCAACUAUCGCAGUGCCCUUGAUACUGAUGGGCUUGAAUGAACUAGAGGUAGGCGGAAUGUGACAAGUAGCGGUGAAAUGCAUAGAUAUGUCACAGAACACCAAUUGCGAAGGCAGCUUACUAUGGUUUGAUUGACGCUGAGGUGCGAAAGCGUGAGGAGCAAACAGGAUUAGAUACCCCCGUAGUCCCUGUCUCUUAUAC
RNAcentral lists this ribosomal RNA (303 nucleotides) under uncultured bacterium. Its description in RNAcentral is "partial 16S ribosomal RNA". It matches the Rfam family "Bacterial small subunit ribosomal RNA", at positions 507 to 807 of the family's 1533-position model. The record is from RNAcentral.